CACGUAGGCACCAAGCGUUGUCCGGAUUUAUUGGGCGUAAAGAGCUCGUAGGCGGUUCGGUAAGUCGGGUGUGAAAACUUUGGGCUCAACCCAAAGCCUGCACUCGAUACUGCUGUGACUUGAGUCCGGUAGGGGAGUGGGGAAUUCCAGGUGUAGCGGUGAAAUGCGUAGAUAUCUGGAGGAAUACCGGUGGCGAAGGCGGCAUCCUGGACCGACAUUGACGCUGAGGAGCGAAAGCUAGGGGAGCAAACGGG
RNAcentral lists this ribosomal RNA (254 nucleotides) under uncultured bacterium. RNAcentral describes it as "partial 16S ribosomal RNA". It matches the Rfam family "Bacterial small subunit ribosomal RNA", at positions 524 to 776 of the family's 1533-position model. The record is from RNAcentral.